GCGAGCAGCAUCCCCACUCCGUGGCCCCGCCCCCCCCCUGGGGGUCCGACCUCUUCGAUAACCCUCCUGCUUUAUCCUUUUCGGGUUAUGAUUAAGAGUCGAGGAGACGGGUAGGACCGAGCAGGGAGGUGCUGAGGGGAGGGGAAGAAGGCCAACGGAGAAGAGAGGUGGAAAGAGAAGGAAGGCGAAGGGAAAGGGAGGUGUGUGGACGGCACCCAUUUACGUCUGUGUCCAUGUGGCCGCCGGCGUUGUUCCUUUGUUUCUCUCUCGAUCCCUGUCGCUUUUCUCACCGACUCCAUAGACACAUGCACCUCAUGUGACAUUGAAGGCACACAAGAAACAGGCAGACAUGGGGGUGGAGGGACGGAGGGGACAACGUACGGCUGUGCGACCCAACGUAUGACACAGAAGCAGAAGCACAGAGCCUGUGUACAUGUCGUGCACCCGGCCUCUCUGUCCAAGGCAUCUUUCACCCUAAAUCAAAACGAAGGCGGCCGCCACGCAUUCGCGGUUAGCUUCGCAAGCUACGAUCGCCUCAGCAGUGUCGUGCUCUGCAGACCAUAACCUUCAGGGCCCCUCCCCCUCCCAUGCUGCUCGCAUUGCAUUUGCGUACACUAAUAGCCGAUUCUCGCACAUCGCCGUGCUGCCUCUCUCUUGUGCCGCCGCUCUCACUCUCUCUCGGCCUUACACCUUGUGAGAUGUGUGCAUUCAUCAACGCCAGUACCUGCUCUGACUCCUUCAGAUACGGCCGUCUUUCCUCGCCGCCCGUGCCAUCUCCCCCUCCCCUUCCCCCACUUCUCGCCUUUUGCCUGCUCCCCCGUGUGGACAG
This 829-nucleotide unclassified non-coding RNA is filed under the name Leishmania donovani. RNAcentral describes it as "gene:unknown". The record is from RNAcentral. Lineage: Eukaryota; Euglenozoa; Kinetoplastea; Trypanosomatida; Trypanosomatidae.